UAAUGCCGGAUGCUCCAGUUGAUCGCAUGGUCUUCUGGGAAAGCUUUCGCGGUAUGGGAUGGGGUCGCGUCCUAUCAGCUUGACGGCGGGGUAACGGCCCACCGUGGCUUCGACGGGUAGCCGGCCUGAGAGGGCGACCGGCCACAUUGGGACUGAGAUACGGCCCAGACUCCUACGGGAGGCAGCAGUGGGGAAUAUUGCACAAUGGGCGCAAGCCUGAUGCAGCGACGCCGCGUGAGGGAUGGAGGCCUUCGGGUUGUAAACCUCUUUUAUCGGGGAGCAAGCGAGAGUGAGUUUACCCGUUGAAUAAGCACCGGCUAACUACGUGCCAGCAGCCGCGGUAAUACGUAGGGUGCAAGCGUUAUCCGGAAUUAUUGGGCGUAAAGGGCUCGUAGGCGGUUCGUCGCGUCCGGUGUGAAAGUCCAUCGCUUAACGGUGGAUCCGCGCCGGGUACGGGCGGGCUUGAGUGCGGUAGGGGAGACUGGAAUUCCCGGUGUAACGGUGGAAUGUGUAGAUAUCGGGAA
RNAcentral lists this ribosomal RNA (524 nucleotides) under Bifidobacterium longum subsp. suillum. RNAcentral describes it as "bacterial SSU rRNA". It matches the Rfam family "Bacterial small subunit ribosomal RNA", at positions 164 to 703 of the family's 1533-position model. Lineage: Bacteria; Bacillati; Actinomycetota; Actinomycetes; Bifidobacteriales; Bifidobacteriaceae. The record is from RNAcentral.